AAGCGAGAAGGAAUCGUCGGAGGCGUAGCGGGCUAGCAGCUUUGGAACUUGGAAGGGUGGCGCCGACGGUUUGGGAACAGGGUUGAGCUCGUCGGAGCUCUUGCUACUGGAGUGUACUUGCAUCGUCGUCUUCGAUCGGGGGAGGUGAGAUGAGCAACGGCGUUGCCGCUAAGUGAGAACUGGAUGCGAUUUACAAAUUAGCCACAUUUAGGCUUGUAAUAUUAAAUAUUGUGUGUUUUUUUUUAAUAUGUACAUGGUUCGGUUUUAUGAGUUUAGUGGGUCGGUUUUAUGAGUUUAGAUAUGGGUCGGUUUCUAUGUAAAAACCGAAACUGAACCCGAUUUUUCGGUUUCUAAAAAAUUUAAACCCUAACAGUCGGUUUUGUUUCGGUUUCGGUUUUUUCGGUUUUAGUCGGUUUCUCGGUUUCUUGUUUUGGGUUUGCUCACUCCUACGCAUUUGCCACCCUAAUCAAAACCCUUUUUAUCAAACAUAUUUAUUAUACUACCUGAUAAGGUAUACCGUAUACGCGACCUAAAAUUACUCUGGAGGCGUUUCAUAAAUCUUUCUGUUGUCUUAGAGGAAAAGGUUUGAGACGUCCAUUUUCUAUUUUUAUCGUAAUGUUCAAACUCUAGAGUGAAAAGUCACCCAGCCUCUCGUCAACACUUCUCUCCUCUUUGCCCUAAAUCGACAGCCGCCACACAAACCAUCGGCAGUUCGGCACCUGCGUCGCCGGUCCAUCGUAUCCGGUCAAUCGUCGCCGGUUCACACCCUCCCAUCGACGCACCUCUGUUCUCCACUCGAAGUCAAACAGGCCUGCACACAGAUAAAUAUGUUGUAAGUAAUCUUUCUUUAUUUAAGAGUCAUGAAAUCUGUGAGGCCUCAAUAAGUAAUUACAUGUAUAACAUAAAAGAGUUAUUAAACUUCACAACUUCCAGAUUCUACUUUAGACUAUUUGGCAUGCUAGUUUAUCUUCAAUAGAUCUGUAAGUUAGUAGUACAUUUUAGUUUCUAUCUCAUAUACAAAAUUUAGAUUAACUUAUUGCUCAAUUUAACUAUCCCACUUGAGUUUUCUUAAAUUAUAUCAUUGUCAUUAUACAUUUAUACUCUUUUCAAGAAAUUUUCUUUUAUCAUUGCAUAUGGACAAGUCUUGGAUGAAAAUAGUUUACAGGACAAAGGACCCAAGAUAUGAGUUGGGUGUGAUUGAAUUGCUUAAUUUUUCAUAUUGUGAUAAAGAAGUGUUGUCAAAAGUUCCAUGCCCUUGCAAAAUAUGAAACAAUUUUCGACAUCAUAAUAGAACAACUAUAUUCUCACAUUUGAUGCAAAUGGGAAUUGUUGUUAGUUAUGUUAGGUGGAUGUAUCAUGGUGAGUCAUAUAAUCUGUCGGAUGAUGAAUGAUGAUAUAUAAGUUGAUGGGGCUAGUGAUGAUUUAAAUGAUGAUGACCUUGAAGAAAUGUUAAAUAACAUAGGUCAAAUAUUGAUCCUUUUCAUAUCUAUUUCUAAGAAAAAUAAGAUUUUUUGAAAGUAAAAUGCUAUUUUCUGCAUGUUUUUGUAAAGUUUGCUGUCUAUUUUUGGUUUUUCUGGAAAAUAUUUGAAAGAUAUACAGAAACUAGCACUUGUAGCAGCAAACUUUAAUCAUCUUCAUAUCUAUUUCUUAGAAAAUAUAUUUUUUUUUGAAAAUACAAUGCUAUUUUCUGCAUGUUUUCUAAUGUCUGCUACCCAUUUUUGUUUUUUUCUGGAAAAUGGUUGAAAGAUAUGUAGAAAUAGCACUUGUAGCAUCAUACUUUGAUCAUCUUCAUAUCUGUUUCUUAGAAAACAAGAUUUUUUGAAAGUACAAUGUUGUUUUCUCCAUAUUUUCUAAAGUUUGCUGCCAAUUUUUGUUUUUUUUCUGGAAAAAAACCUAACAAGCUAUGGAUCGAUCAAUGCAAAAUCAUGAUUUUGGAAGUGACAAAAAAAAGACCUUUCUCAUACUCACCACCAGAUUUAAGAUGAACAAUAACAAAAACUAUAAAAAUAGAAAAGACAAAGAUGGAAGAGAUUCCUAGUAAAAUGAACCAAAAAGAAAAAGAGGAAGCAAAGAAAUAUUGAUCAUGAUGGAGCUCCUCCAUGAUUUAAUCUUACAAAGCCUUCACCAUCCAUCUUCAGAGUAAAAACAAUAAUAAUCGAUUUAAUCACUCCACUUAUAUCCACCAUUACUUCCUUUUUCAUACUCACCUCAAAAUCAAAUAAAUUUUCAAAGUACCAGUAUACGUCAAGAAAAUAAAAGAAACAAAAAGAGCUUCUUAAGAUGAGAUCAAGGUUUUAAAAUACGGAAUCGGGCCUCAAGGCGUUUACCCCUCGCCUCACGAGGCGUAAGCCUCGAGGCGAAAUGAGGCGUAAGCCUCGAGGCGGAAUAAAAUAAUAAUAAUAUAUUAUAUUAAUCAUAAAAAAACAUACUAAAGUCCAAUUUCAAACAUAACAGUCUUACUUAAUGUCAUCAUCCCAAAAAUAAAAAGAUACUAAAAUUCAUAAUAGUCUUCAAAUCAUGCCAAAUUAGUAAAAACAAAUGCAUAAUAGUUAACAGGGGGAGUAAGAAGCGGGGAACAACCUCGAUUUUAACUCACAAGUUGAUGACCAUGUUCGAUUUGGCUAACAACAGUUAACAGGGGGAGUAAGAAGAAACGAGAAGAGAAAAGAAAGAAGAAACGAGAGAAUAAGGAGUGACGGCUAGAGAAAAAUUAGGUCAAGUAAAGAUAUCACGUGAUUUCUAAGGUCAAAAAGUCAAAAAAAAAAAAAAAAAAAACCCAGAACGCCUCUUACGCCUCGCCUCGGAACGCCCCGCCUCGGACCGCUUUUCACCGCCUCACAAGACUGAGGCGUGCGCCUCAUUCUCCCCCUAAGAAGCGUAGCCUCAGAAUCGUUUUUCGUCUGCCUCGCCUCGAGGCGCGCCUCGAGGCGUACGCCUCGAACGAUUUUUAAAACCUUGGAUGAGAUGAAACACUAUCUUGCUAGUUCUUGAGGUGGGCGAAUGGAGAAGAUAAGCUGAAGAGUAACAGUGGUGAUACUUUGACUUGAAUUUUUGAGGUGGAAUCUAAUUUAAAUUCUUUAUUUAGUGAAAAAAAUGAUAUCAUUAAAGAAACCAACAAUUACAAGUCAAAGCCUUCUUUUAGCCAGUAAAAAUAGUUUUUACUGUAUGCCCUUAAACUACAAAAAAAAACGUGAAUGACCAUUUAAAACAAAACCAGAUUGUUGGUUGGGCUAGAGUGACAUUAGCCCCAUCUAUUUCUUAGAAAAUAAUUUUUUUUGAAAGAACAAUGUAUAUUUCUGUAUGUUUUCGGAAGUUUGCUGUCCAUUUUUGUUUUUUCUGGAAAAUAUUUAAAAGAUAUGCAGAAACUAGCACUUGUAGCAUCAAACUUUGAUUAUCUUCAUAUGUCUUUCUUAGAAAAAUAAGAUUUUUUUUUAAAAAUACAAUGCUAUUUUCUGCAUAUUUUCUAAAGUCUGCUGUCCAUUUUUGAUUUUAGUAGAAAAUACUUGAAAGAUGUGCAGAAAUCAACACUUUUAGCAUCAAAUUUUGAUUCAUAUCUAUUUUUUUUUGAAAAAUAAGAUUUUUUGAAAGUACAAUGCUAUUUUCUGCAUGUUUUCUAAAGUUUGCUCUCCAUUUUUGGUUUUUCUGGAAAAUACAUGAAAGAUGUGCAGAAGUUAACACUUUUAGCAUCAAAUUUUGAUAAUCUUCAUAUCUAUUUUUUUGAAAAAUAAGAUUUUUUGAAAGUAUAAAGCUAUUUUCCGCAUGUUUUCUAAAGUUUGCUCUCCAUUUUUAGUUUUUCUGGAAAAAUAUUAUAGGCCCAAGGACACAUUCGUUUUCAGCAGAAGGAAGAACAAACCAAAGCACCCCAAUACUAAGUUAUUCGUUGAUGUCUUUUAUCUUUAUGAUCUUUUAAUAUCUGUCAGUUCUUUCUUUUGUAAUGCUCCUCCUACGUUCUGUUAUUAUGGGGGGUGAUGUGUGCAAACUCACUUAGUUUUAAACCUAUUUUUAAUUAUCAAAUAACACACAAAAGGCAGUGAACCUAUCAAUUGUGGUAUAGCUAAAUAAGCAGGGUAUCGAUCACAGGGAACGACAAAUUAAAUUAAAAACUAAUUUUAUCUAAGUUAAUUAAGAAGUAGGGGUUUUCUCUAGUUUUACAAGACUAGAAACUUACUAACUAUUACUAAUUUAAGACUAAAAAAUAACGACUUAACUAGAUUCAAUAAUUGGAAAGGAACUUCUGUUUAGUUCAACUUGGUUAACUCUAUGGUUGAUUUCAAGGUAAUGGUGCAAUGGAUUAAUUCUUUCGUUGGUUACCAAUUCAAGUGAUUAGAUUCGUGUUCACUACCCUAAUCCUUAGCAAAUAAACUAACUUAAACAGUGGCCAAUUGUCUUAUUUAAUUAUAUUCACUAGAUUAAUUAUUCGGGUUAAGUUAGACUUGCAAUAGUUAACUAAUUUAUUCUUUUAAUUAACUCCUUGUUUGAUGGUCAUCUUACAAGCUUGCACAUGAAUUUACUCAAUUUUCUUAUUAAUUCUAGUUUCAUAUUCAUUAAUCCUAGACAUAUAGCAUAGUGAUCACAUAGCAUAUGAGGUCAAUAAUCAAUAGAUGUUCAUGCUAAUCAAUUAUCUUCCUAUUAACAGAAAAUUAAUUAUUAUUCACACACAAGGUUCUUUAGCAAGCUAAAAUAACAAAAAUUCACCAACUUGGAAUUAAUCCUACCAAUCAAUCAAACCAUAUUGUCAACUUUGUAUCCCCAAACAGAAGUCUAAAGGUUUUAGCUCAUAAUUGAAGUAAGUAACAGCAAACAAACAAAGUCAAAUUGCUUAAUCAUAAUGAUAAAACAAAAGAAUAAAUGGAAUGAUGAAAUUUUGCCUCAAUUACUCUCCGGAAUUGAAUUCUAGCUUCCUUCGUCGUCUUCUAGGGUUUCUCUGGCUUCUCAAUCGUAGCAAAGUACUUCUAAAUCGUCCCAGAACUCUUCUCUAUCGAUCUGUGGAAUUAUCUUUAAAUAUACGAAUCGACUCGUCGAGUCAUGUGGUGACUCGUCGAGUCCCUCUCACAUUCCCCGUAUUGUGAUAGCCUUCUGGGAUCCUGAGUCAUUAUCUUCUCGAUCCUUCGAUCGGACUCGUCGAGUCGUCACCCCUACUCGCCGAGUCAAAGCCAUUUUAAGUGUUUUUCCUUCUUUAUUUCUUCCUUGAUCUUUCUCACUGCUUCUACCGCUUCCUUUCGCUUCCGAGCUUCAUCUUUGGACUGAAAAACAUAAUUUAACACUUUUAAGUACUUUUUGUCCAUAAUAUGCAAUAAUUUAGCUAAUAAAUGAGUAAAAAUGUAUACUUAAUAUGAACUAAUUAUGCACAUAUCAAAAUACCCUACACUUGUCUUUUGCUUGCCCCCAAGCAAAACUGAAUUUUAAACAUAUUAGAAUCAUAUAUAAAAACUCCAAUCUAACCCAGCCAUUAUGCCAAGACCGCAACGCAUGCAUUUGUGUCUAAAAUUUUUCCUAAAGACCUCACAUACUCCAAAUACUCGCAAUCCUCAUAAACAUUUGCCCACUCAUCCCGAACUAUGCUCAUUUUAUGCAACCCUCCAAAUCCAUCCGCAGAAAACCUCUUACCCUCAAGGUGUUUUUAAUUGAGCAACCCGAGCAUACAUAAUCUAGAAUUACAACUUUUUGAUACCACUAUGGAGCUCUUUUGAAUUCAUCUCUUCUUCGAUAUUUGCUUUGAUCUCUUUGAAUUCACCACCUUUAUUGUUUGAUUUUCGGGUAUCUUCAACUUUUUGAUUUCUUGGAAUUUUGAUAUUUUGAUCUUCACUUUAAUUGCUCCAAAAUUCAUACAAUUUCUCUUGUAAUUCUCUCUCUCUCUCUCUCUCUCUCUCUCUCUCUCUCUCUCUCUU
RNA transcript from Lactuca sativa (garden lettuce), 5888 nucleotides. RefSeq lists it as uncharacterized. Lineage: Eukaryota; Viridiplantae; Streptophyta; Magnoliopsida; Asterales; Asteraceae. The record is from RefSeq and is a predicted model, not a curated record.